This 540-nucleotide small RNA is filed under the name Pan troglodytes (chimpanzee). RNAcentral describes it as "processed transcript". Lineage: Eukaryota; Metazoa; Chordata; Mammalia; Primates; Hominidae. The record is from RNAcentral.
AAGAAUUCCUAGGCCAAGGGAAGCAGUUUCAGAAACAACUCUCCAAGUUCCAUUUCCAAGGAAAGUCUUAACCAUUUGUCCCUUCUGGCGUACCCUCUUUCAUUGAAAUCCAUGCAGAAUAUACCAGAGAUGGGCAGUAGCGAACCCCUUCCCAUCGCAGAUGGUGUCAGGAGGAGGAAGAAGAAGCGGAGGGCCCGGGCCACUGACUCCUUGCCAGGAAAAUUUGAAGAUAUGUACAAGCUGACCUCUGAAUUGCUUGGAGAGGGAGCCUAUGCCAAAGUUCAAGGUGCCGUGAGCCUACAGAAUGGCAAAGAGUAUGCCGUCAAAAUCAUCGAGAAACAAGCAGGGCACAGUCGGAGUAGGGUGUUUCGAGAGGUGGAGACACUGUAUCAGUGUCAGGGAAACAAGAACAUUUUGGAGCUGAUUGAGUUCUUUGAAGAUGACACAAGGUUUUACUUGGUCUUUGAGAAAUUGCAAGGAGGUUCCAUCUUAGCCCACAUCCAGAAGCAAAAGCACUUCAAUGAGCGAGAAGCCAGCCGA